UACAGAGGGACUGUGGUGGAGAAGGAGACAAAGAAAGGGGUUGGGGUAAGAAAGAGACACAGAAAGGCGCUAGGGGUAAGCCCCUAGCCCAUUACUGUGUCUCUUUCUUACCCCAGCCCCUUUCUUUGUCUCCUUCUCCACCACAGUCCCUAGUGUG
This 157-nucleotide microRNA precursor is filed under the name Pelobates cultripes (western spadefoot toad). The record is from RNAcentral. Lineage: Eukaryota; Metazoa; Chordata; Amphibia; Anura; Pelobatidae.